RNAcentral lists this long non-coding RNA (3350 nucleotides) under Pelobates cultripes (western spadefoot toad). The record is from RNAcentral. Lineage: Eukaryota; Metazoa; Chordata; Amphibia; Anura; Pelobatidae.
AGCCAGUUUUAUGUACUUGUACUUCCUCAAGAAUUUGCUUUCCCAAAAGCAUGAACCAUUAACUAAUUCCCCUUUAAGUGUUACAGAAAAACACUUUGGCAUUUGCCGAGUUAAAUAUUGUUUUCCGUAUACUAAUGAAUUGCUUACUACACAUAAAAGAUACCAGUGAGCUUUUUAACCGUGCUCCACUACUGAGCAGAAACUAAAUACCCCAGUGAAAGUGUUGAGAAUAAAGUCACAAUCAAAUUGCUAAUUUUGAUCCCUCAACUCACCAUACCUUUCCUAUUAAAAACUGUCCAAAUGCCAGUUUGGUUACACCUGCCGCCCCUAUCAAUAAUUCUGUAUUUUAGCUAUUUUAUUCUGUAUGUUUACCAAUAGAAUCGAGAGUACUUUAACCCUUUUCAUAAUAUAUCACCCAAUAUCUUCAAAUUAGAAGGACCCUUUAUGUAAUAUGCUUACAGAAAAACAUAUUUUGUCAUAAAUCCCUGGUUAAAAAAGAAACAUGAAUACAUCUUUUAGAGUUAGAUAGUAUCAGCCUUACACGUAUGAACCCCCAUGGGGUUAUUCAAUUGAAGUUUGUAUUGCCUGAUCUAGAUAGUGACUCCAGUUUUAAUCCCCAAAAAAAGGUUAAUUGAAAGCUUGCUUGUACAAUUGUAAGCGCUCCUAUUGUUGCCUAUAGUGUUUAAAUUCACUGUGGUGAACAUGAUAUACAGUGGAAACUCUAUGAGCAACGAGUUUGCAAGUAGUUUAUAGGUACUGUCCAACUUAAAGGGAUACUCCAAGCCUCAUAACCACUACAACUCACUGCAUGGGUUACGAUGCCAAGAGUACCAUGAAGCCAUACCCUGGUAAGGUGGCAAACUGUUUAACAAUAAUUUUCCACUUACCUGGGUCACACCAGGCACUGAGCAGCAAUGAAUGCAGUUGAAUGACAUUUGGUUUUGGCAGUGCUGUAAAACUGAAUGUCAGUACAGUCUUUCAUUCAUUGGCUGAGAGUGUGAGAUGGGCCCUCUCAGCCAAUGAAUGAGCACCUUUGCAUAGAAUAUAGACAGAAUUAACAUUAGCAAGUCAAGAACACUUCUUCCAACUAGCUAAUAAGAGUUGCUUGAGGUGGAGUUAUACCUCAAGUAGCUAGCUAUAAUAGCUCACGCAUGGCAUCCUUGCACUAUGGAUAAAAGGAAAAAACAUUCAGAUUUUUUUUAAAAUUAUUAUUAUUAUUAAAGGAACACAAAGCUGUAUUCCUAACACUAUAGGGUCCCUAUGUUCCUCCCGGCAAUUAAAGGGUUAAAACCCCUUUAAAACACUUGAAAUCCCUCGGUGUUGGCUCCACCUACGCCUCCAACAUCAUCACAAGUGGUAUCAAUACUUUCCCAAGUGUGAUAUGAAGACGAUGGAUGUCCUCAUGUACAGUAUGAGGACGUCCCGUUAAACUCUGUGAAACAGCAGGAAACUCCUCUAGUAAGUGUCUGUUGGACAGCCUCUAGAGCCAGUCUUAACUUUGCAAUAUAAACAUUGCAGUUUCUCUGAAACUGCCAUGUUUUAGAUUGCAGGGUUAAGUGGACAGGGCACCCAGACCACUUUAGAGAGAUUAAGUGGUCUGUGUGCCUAUAAUGGCUCUUUAAAAUGAAAAUGUAUUAUAUCAUUUCCGUGUAUUCUCUCCUGACUUACCCUUCUUUCAAUGGGGCUGCCAUCUUUAAGGCCUCAAUAGUCAGGAAUUAAUUUUAUCCGAUGAAAGGAGAGCCUGUGCACAUAAUUGAGAGCUAGUAUGUUCAUGAAUCCUGACACCAUUCACAAGGGUACCCUGGGGGACAAAUAGAAUAAUGCCCUAUUGACAUUUUCUUUUAAACAGAAAGGGUUGGAGAAACCCUUCAGUAGAAAAGGAGGGCUAAGCAUAGAUGUUACCAUGGUAAGCCAAGAGUUGCACUAAAUAUAGGUCUCCAAAUCUGUCAGGAUUGCACCUAUUCCACAGUCCCAGCUUUGUUCCCUGGUGCCAUGCUUCUAAUGAUGUAUGAUACACUUGUGUACACGAAGGGAACAAGAUCCAGCCGAACAGCAUGAUGGCAGUCAGCCAGAUUGACAUGCCCCUUUUUCUGACGGAUCUGUCCCUUUUGCAAGCAGAUCUGGCUGUCCUCAUAUUGAAGCACUGGAUUCACACAUCAUAUUUUAGCAAACACUUAACUGCCUUGAUCUGAGGGCUCACUUUGCACACAUAAAGCUUGUAUCUGUUACAAAUAAAUGAUCAUUGAAAAUGUUACACCAGCAGCACCGUGCAGCAGUCCAAAUACAUAACACUAAUGAAUGUUUUUACAGACAUAUUUUUCUCCUCAUGCGCACUUAUCACUUAUGAUCCAUGUUACUUUCAAUAGGAGUAUACUGAAGUAUUCUAAAAGGUUUAAUCUAAUAUUUGUGUUUAGUGUUAUAUGGCAGUACAUUCAACUUUAUAGUGCUACAAGUAUAACUAUAAUAAAAAUUUAAAUAUAAGAAUGUUAUAUUUUCUUAAGCAACUAUAUUAUUAGAAAAACGUUAUACCUGAAGCUAAUUUUGCACUUACUCGUAAUCAUAUUGCUAAUGCAAUAGAUAUCUAUACAAUUCUGUAGAAAUACAUUGCUCUGGAAAAUGUUCUAUGGCUAUAAUGUUUUUGCGAUUUAUUCCUGAUAAUACAAACUCCAUUGUGGUGUACCCUUUUUAUGUGAAAGGGUUGUAUCUAGUAAUGAAAGCAUCAAGAGUGGCAUUUACAGUAACUUAUAAUGGAAUUACAGCUAUUAAAAAAUAAAUAGUAAAUUGGGCUAUAGAUCUAUACAGUGAAUAAAAUGAAUACAGUCUCAUUGUAUAGUGUGCAUUGAAAACAUUACAGUUUGUGCAUUUCCAUUUUGUGUUGGUGUACUGUAGAGCCAAAACCAUGCUGGCCAUUGAGUCAUUCAUUUGGAAGGAGGAUCACUGUGGUGGUAUAGCUGAACAGUCUGAAUAAGAGAUGAUGAUAUUACCUCUCUUUACUUGAAUAUUUCAAAUAGCAUGCUUGGAGGGUUGUAGAAAGACUUUUUUUAAGAACUUCUACUGUUUCUCAUGCAAAAUGUAUUAAAGGCUGUCUUGUGAUAUAAAGGUUAAGUACAGUAUAAUCGAGAAUAUAAUUAAAUCAGUGGGAAAUGUCUCACUUUUUGACCUUAUCAUAACCUUAAUAAAUCUAAGAAUUGUAGGGUUAUUGAGAGUAUACCCCACCAACUUAAAGUUAGCAAAGUAUGCUAAAUAUGUUGACAAAUUAGUAUUUGCGUUGCCUAAUUAUUCCCCAGCACAGACAAAAAACACUUAUAAUUAUAUAUUAAUCGGGAAAGUGUUAUAAAAAUAACAAUAUU